GAAUCCCCGGGGUCAAACUGGGAAAUUCAUUCGAAACUGGCAGGCUAGAUUCUUGUAGAAGGGGGUAGAAUUCCCAGGUGUAGCGGUGAAAUUGGUAGAGAUCUGGAGGAAUUCCGGUGGCGAAGGCGGCCCCCUGGACAAAGACUGACGGUCAGGUGCGAAAGCGUGGGGAGCAAACAGGAUUAGAUACCCUGGUAGUCCACGCCGUAAACGAUGUCGACUUGGAGGUCGUUCCCUUGAGGAGUGGCUUCCGGAGCUAACGCGUUAAGUCGACCGCCUGGGGAGUACGGCCGCAAGGUUAAAACUCAAAUGAAUUGACGGGGGCCCGCACAAGCGGUGGAGCAUGUGGUUUAAUUCGAUGCAACGCGAAGAACCUUACCUACUCUUGACAUCCAGAGAACUUAGCAGAGAUGCUUUGGUGCCUUCGGGAACUCUGAGACAGGUGCUGCAUGGCUGUCAUCAGCUCGUGUUGUGAAAUGUUGGGUUAAGUCCCGCAACGAGCGCAACCCUUAUCCUUUGUUGCCAGCGGUUAGGCCGGGAACUCAAAGGAGACCGCCAGUGAUAAACUGAGGAAGGUGGGGAAAAAGUCAAGUCAUCAUGGCCCUUACGAGUAGGGCUACACACGUGCUACAAUGACGCAUACAAAGAGAAGCGACCUCGCGAGAGCAAGCGGACCUCGUAAAGUGCGUCGUAGUCCGGAUUGGAGUCUGCAACUCGACUCCAUGAAGUCGGAAUCGCUAGUAAUCGUAGAUCAGAAUGCUACGGUGAAUACGUUCCCGGGCCUUGUACACACCGCCCGUCACACCAUGGGAGUGGGUUGCAAAAGAAGUAGGUAGCUUAACCUUCGGGAGGGCGCUUACCACUUUGUGAUUCAUGACCGGGGAAAGGUCGUAACAAGGUA
RNAcentral lists this ribosomal RNA (901 nucleotides) under uncultured Gammaproteobacteria bacterium. Its description in RNAcentral is "bacterial SSU rRNA". It matches the Rfam family "Bacterial small subunit ribosomal RNA", at positions 597 to 1498 of the family's 1533-position model. Lineage: Bacteria; Pseudomonadati; Pseudomonadota; Gammaproteobacteria. The record is from RNAcentral.